GAUGAACGCUGACAGAAUGCUUAACACAUGCAAGUCUUUGGCGAAGCUGUGCUCGCACAGCCUAGCCAAGGCGGACGGGUGAGUAACGCGUAAGGAACUUGCCCUGCAGUCAGGGAUAACAGACGGAAACGACUGAUAAGACCUGGUAAAGUCAGGCGGACUCAUGUCCAGCCUGAUGAAAAGAGAUGCUGCAGGAGAGCCCUGCGUCCUAUUAGCUUGUUGGUGGGGUAACGGCCCACCAAGGCGAUGAUAGGUAGCCGGCCUGAGAGGGUGGACGGCCACAAGGGGACUGAGAUACGGCCCUUACUCCUACGGGAGGCAGCAGUGGGGAAUAUUGGGCAAUGGGGGCAACCCUGAUCCAGCAAUUCUGUGUGCACGAUGAAGGUUUUCGGAUUGUAAAGUGCUUUCAGCAGGGAAGAAAAAAAUGACGGUACCUGCAGAAGAAGCGACGGCUAAAUACGUG
RNAcentral lists this ribosomal RNA (463 nucleotides) under uncultured bacterium. Its description in RNAcentral is "partial 16S ribosomal RNA". It matches the Rfam family "Bacterial small subunit ribosomal RNA", at positions 28 to 507 of the family's 1533-position model. The record is from RNAcentral.